UUGUGUAAAGGAGAUCACAACAGUACCAAAUUCAGAAGCUGACAGGGACUUUAAAUAACUUUGUGAAGAGAAGGCACUUAGAACUGUGUCUGACUCAUUAAGAGCCCUAUAUAGUCAUAACCAGCACCCUUGGUGGCAAGAUGUGAAAUUUCUCUGCCAGUAAGAGAGGAUCAUCUUUAACUCUCUUGGUGCCUAUAGAACAGACAAUAGAGAUAACACUUUGCUGGUCUCUUCUACUUCCUUUUUUUGCUAAUUACGUAAAACCUAUUCUGAAAAGCAGGCUCCAUUCCCUGCUCAAAGGCUCCAGUUGGUGGCUGUAAGAAUAUCUCUUCUCAAGUAGCUGCACCAGGUCCUCAUGUUGCUGUGGUCAUUGCUGGUCAUCUUUGCUCCAGUCAGUGAACAGUCAGGCCAGUCUUCUCUCCUGUGUCUCCUCCUAGCCCCACCCACGCGUUGCCCUCACCCUGGCUGACCUUCCAUUGCACGCAAACGCCUGAGAAACAUGGUUUGCCUUCUACUCUUGUUGCUGUUCCGUUAAAAACAUUC
Loxodonta africana (African savanna elephant) is the source of this 543-nucleotide long non-coding RNA. RefSeq lists it as uncharacterized. The transcript has 3 exons. The record is from RefSeq and is a predicted model, not a curated record. NCBI's taxonomy places the organism in Eukaryota, Metazoa, Chordata, Mammalia, Proboscidea, Elephantidae.